AAAAAGAUAAGCUAAGCCUAAGCUAUUAGGUUCAUACCCUGUAUAUAGAAGUUACAACCCUUCUUCUUUUUA
Molecule: transfer RNA, 72 nt
Filed under: Eurhadina cuii
Lineage: Eukaryota; Metazoa; Arthropoda; Insecta; Hemiptera; Cicadellidae
Description: tRNA-Met
Rfam family: tRNA
About the family: Transfer RNA (tRNA) molecules are approximately 80 nucleotides in length. Their secondary structure includes four short double-helical elements and three loops (D, anti-codon, and T loops).
Source: RNAcentral